GGCGCCUACCAAACUAGCGAGUGAUUUUUGCUUCUCUGAGACAUUUUUGGUUUUGAUCGUAAUUUUUUUUGUCUAUGCUCCAGAUUCUCGCCACCCUUGGAGAACUGUGCCUCCCUGCCUUGGUUCCUUUUCCAGUGUGCUCAGCUUCUUGCACAGCUCUCGCCAUUUUCCAACCUCGCAGAAGAACUAGAAGCAAGACUCUGUAUUUUGCACGUUCUUAGCUGUUGUCAAGAAAUUGGACAGCAACUUUUUACUUCCUCUCCCUGUCCGUGUUUUGCACUUAGGUCCUAGAAUUCCUUACGCUACAACAAAGACACUGUCUGAGAGGAAGCGAUCAGAGCUCACAGUCCCAACAGCACAUAGGAGCUGCUUGAAACGCCAGGAGCUGCUAGUUCUUACUCCGGUGUACAGACAAAGGGGUAAAAGACAGAGGGCUGUCUGUUUCCUGAUAUGUGAGGCAGCACAUGUCCAACAAGAGGUGGGUCCAACUGAAAUGACUCCUGAAAUAUCCAUCAGCAUAAAUUACAUCUUUGGUAGUGCUGAUUCCCUCUUUUGGGCUAAUGAAGUUAUAUGCCCCUGCACAACUACCAAGACGCCUGCUAAUGUCUUUUAAUUUGCAAAGAUAAUUGCAACACGGUUCCACUUAAAAAUCUAUACAUGCCAGGAAAUGGAGCUAAAACCGACCAAUCCACAUGGGUAAUUGUUUCUCCCUUAGAUUCUCUAAUGUAUAGCUGCAUAUCAAGGGUCUAAUGACACCAAUCAAAUGAUAUAUGCACUAAUGAAGCAGUCAGGGUUGACAUGGCAUGUGCAAAGGUUAUAAAAUAAGGAUUUGUGCAACUAUUUAUGAAUACUAAUCUGCUUAUCAUUGUUUCUAUCUAGCACCUUGUUUAGGAAAUGCCAACAUUUGCAUUUGGUGCCUAAAGGUGCUAGAAAACCAGGCUAGGCUAUGCCCCAACAUUUGCAAGAAGCCAAUGUAGCACAGACUGAGAACAGAACAUGUUGUGCGUGUUGUUAUCUUAAGGUUAGAGGCACACAGAUGCACGCAUGCUCACUCAUAUGCAUUCAGGGCGAGUAAGAGAAACAAUAGAGGAGCAGGCUGUAGGAGACUUGGUGGCAAGGAAAGUCUAGACAUAAUGAGUUUAAUAACGUACAAUGUUCAUUAAAACAUAGCUCACAGCCUCUCCGGAGGUGUCACUCCUGUCAGAUUAGUGGUGCUGAGAGAUGGCUGGUGCUGAGUGGAAGCAGCCCAUAUGGUCUGUCUGCUUGACAACACUGUGACCCACAACAGAUGUGCUGUUUUUCCUCUCCCCUGAUGUUAGGAUCAGCUUCUUUGUCACACCUGUGCUUUCUCCCAAGCCACACAAUAACAUCAACAAAUGAGACUGCUGGAUUUGCCCUCUGAGUCAACAAAGGAUUCUGGGCAGCCACAAAAUACAUUUUGACUUUAUUAGGAAGACUGGCUUCCUUUUGGGCAUUAUUAGAACAGUGGUAACCUAAAGACAAAGAUUAAUUAUUCCUGUGUGAUGUUUGCAUGCUAAUGUCCAGGAUGUGACUUUGGACUGUUUUUUAAAACCAGGAUGUGGAUGUCACUAUUUGUGGAUGUCACUAUCCCCAUCUCCUAGAAAUUAGAUCCAUAGAAUAACUAAUUUGUUAUGCUGAAUAAUUCACUGGUAAUUUAUUUUCUAGUCAAAAAGCAGUGUGUGUGUGUGUGUGGUGUGUGUGUGUGUGUGGUACGGUUGUCACAAAGAGAUAAUUGUGACUACCAUUGUGCCAGGCAGUGUAAAGUGUUUGUAAAAUGUUCCUGCUUAGUGUAUACAUUUCAAAACAAGUACUGGCAAAUUAUUAGUAUGAGUGUAAUUUAUAGGCGACAAGGUUACUAUUUAGACCUGUUCUCUGGUUGUCCAGAUAGUUGGCCUUCCAACGAAAAUGUUACUUUGUCACCAAGACAUUUUAUGGGUAGAUUUUGCUUUUUAACUAUGUGUGAGUGGCAAUUUAUAGGGUUAUCCAGCCACUUCUGCCAACACUAUAUGAAAUAUGCAUAAGCUGUCUGGAUAGCUGGACGGAAAGCAAUUUCUUCAGAACAUAUAAAGCGCCAAUGAUCAGUUGCAAUAUGGACACUCCCAUGACAAAUGCUAUUCUGCUUUCUAGCAGCCAUAAAGCUUGUAAAUUAGGUCAUGUACUACAUAUGAAUGCUACAUCUCAUUAUUAAACCUCCCAUCAGGCAAUGUCAUUUAUCCCCUCAUACAUAUGUGCAUCACAGGUAUUAAAGAAAAUUUGUCAAUGUGAAGCAUGACACACAGCAGUGAUACUAGAGCCGCCAAUAUUUGUCAGACGUGUAUAUACUGGAGGUCUGUACAUGUCUACUUUUUAUGCAUGUAACUGUCUAUCUUAAGUAGCAGCUGUCUGCUCUCGCUAAUCCUUCUGCUUGAUUUAAAUGUCAAUACCUCCUUCAUAUGUGCACAAGCAUAAAUCUGUAUGGGCAGAGUGGGUGGUAGUGACAUCACGGGGGGGGCAAGGGGUGAACGGAUCUCGACAGGCGCUCACUACAGCAAAGGAUGCUCCAGUAGACCAGUGGCAGUAACAGCAAGGUGCAAAGACGUUAAUGCAUGUCCCCUGGUGCCAUCUGGAAGAAGCAGGGUACCUAUGUAUUUAUCACCUGAAGGUUCAUUCACCAUCCUCAAUUACACACCCAUCUUUGGUGGUCUCUCACCGGAUGAAACCUUGAACGAGAUGCCCGUGAACUUGAUGUUGACUGCAUGAGAGGCCUGCUAGCAUGGUUUAUCAAUAAAUAGGGGAAACUAGAAACUAGGAUGAAUAAUGGAUGACCUAGGGUGAAAACACAUAGAUUAAUGUGAGGUGGAGGAGGGAGGGUGCCAGGGAGGAUGCAACUCUAUUGGGGUGUUGCCCUGUGAAGUGGCUAGAGGGCUGAGAUUCAUGAUGUCUUGUUAGAAGUGUGCAGACAAAUGAUUGUUUCCCUGUGCAUGUGGGACAUACUUUUUGGGCUAGCUCACAUUCAGCAGAGAAACAGGAAACAUGGGCGCUCUUCUGUCAUUUCCUCACUGCAGAGAUGUAAUUUCUGGGAUCACUUAAAUAUUUGAAGUCCAGAUGUGAUGAGAUCAGAACUCUGCUGCCCGGCUCCAAUCUUGAAUUUUUUGUGUCUUAGUGAAACAUAAUUGCAGGAUUAAGUAUGA
Long non-coding RNA from Micropterus dolomieu (smallmouth bass), 3191 nucleotides. RefSeq lists it as uncharacterized. Lineage: Eukaryota; Metazoa; Chordata; Actinopteri; Centrarchiformes; Centrarchidae. The record is from RefSeq and is a predicted model, not a curated record. The transcript has 3 exons.